GUACUGCUGAAGAGUCUAAAAGUAGGACGAAACAGCUGUCCUGUAC
This is a non-coding RNA of Trichobilharzia regenti, 46 nucleotides long. The record is from Rfam. NCBI's taxonomy places the organism in Eukaryota, Metazoa, Platyhelminthes, Trematoda, Strigeidida, Schistosomatidae.